GCUCCCUUUCUCAGGCCUUCAGCAAUAUUAGUUCCACCAUUUGCAACCAAAGAAUUGACAGCUUGAAGUGCAUGCUGACGGCCCGUAUCAGACAUUCGACGGAGGGGGAAGAGGCGGCGGGCAGUGGAAGAAAAGGCAAUAACUGAGAGCCUGUCAUUGGAGCCAAGGUUCUGUAUUACGAACCCCAUGGCUCGUUUUAGCAAUGCUAGCUUUGUCCCUGCCAUGCUACCACUGAUGUCAAGCACUGUGACUAGGUCAACUGGGGCACGAGGAGCUUGCGAGAUUUGAGGCAAGCUAGCCUGGUUUCUUCUAGGAUCCUGUCUUAUAAUUGUAGCAGCAGCUUUAAGAUUGAC
Molecule: unclassified non-coding RNA, 353 nt
Filed under: Hevea brasiliensis (rubber tree)
Lineage: Eukaryota; Viridiplantae; Streptophyta; Magnoliopsida; Malpighiales; Euphorbiaceae
Source: RNAcentral